Molecule: ribosomal RNA, 1045 nt
Filed under: Vreelandella aquamarina
Lineage: Bacteria; Pseudomonadati; Pseudomonadota; Gammaproteobacteria; Oceanospirillales; Halomonadaceae
Description: bacterial SSU rRNA
Rfam family: Bacterial small subunit ribosomal RNA
Source: RNAcentral
CUACCAUGCAAGUCGAGCGGUAACAGAUCCAGCUUGCUGGAUGCUGACGAGCGGCGGACGGGUGAGUAAUGCAUAGGAAUCUGCCCGAUAGUGGGGGAUAACCUGGGGAAACCCAGGCUAAUACCGCAUACGUCCUACGGGAGAAAGGGGGCUCCGGCUCCCGCUAUGGGAUGAGCCUAUGUCGGAUUAGCUAGUUGGUGAGGUAACGGCUCACCAAGGCCACGAUCCGUAGCUGGUCUGAGAGGAUGAUCAGCCACAUCGGGACUGAGACACGGCCCGAACUCCUACGGGAGGCAGCAGUGGGGAAUAUUGGACAAUGGGGGAAACCCUGAUCCAGCCAUGCCGCGUGUGUGAAGAAGGCCCUCGGGUUGUAAAGCACUUUCAGCGAGGAAGAACGCCUAGCGGUUAAUACCCGCUAGGAAAGACAUCACUCGCAGAAGAAGCACCGGCUAACUCCGUGCCAGCAGCCGCGGUAAUACGGAGGGUGCAAGCGUUAAUCGGAAUUACUGGGCGUAAAGCGCGCGUAGGUGGCUUGAUAAGCCGGUUGUGAAAGCCCCGGGCUCAACCUGGGAACGGCAUCCGGAACUGUCAAGCUAGAGUGCAGGAGAGGAAGGUAGAAUUCCCGGUGUAGCGGUGAAAUGCGUAGAGAUCGGGAGGAAUACCAGUGGCGAAGGCGGCCUUCUGGACUGACACUGACACUGAGGUGCGAAAGCGUGGGUAGCAAACAGGAUUAGAUACCCUGGUAGUCCACGCCGUAAACGAUGUCGACCAGCCGUUGGGUGCCUAGCGCACUUUGUGGCGAAGUUAACGCGAUAAGUCGACCGCCUGGGGAGUACGGCCGCAAGGUUAAAACUCAAAUGAAUUGACGGGGGCCCGCACAAGCGGUGGAGCAUGUGGUUUAAUUUCGAUGCAACGCGAAGAACCCUUACCUACUCUUGACAUCCUGCGAAUUUGGUAGAGAUACCUUAGUGCCUUCGGGAACGCAGAGACAGGUGCUGCAUGGCUGUCGUCAGCUCGUGUUGUGAAAUGUGGGGUUAAGUCCCGU